GACGAACGCUGGCGGCGUGCUUAACACAUGCAAGUCGAACGCUGAAGCUCAGCUUGCUGGGUGGAUGAGUGGCGAACGGGUGAGUAACACGUGAGUAACCUGCCCUCUUCUUUGGGAUAACGCCCGGAAACGGGUGCUAAUACUGGAUAUUCACUGAUUCUCGCAUGGGGGUUGGUGGAAAGGUUUUUUCUGGUGGGGGAUGGGCUCGCGGCCUAUCAGCUUGUUGGUGGGGUGAUGGCCUACCAAGGCUUUGACGGGUAGCCGGCCUGAGAGGGUGACCGGUCACAUUGGGACUGAGAUACGGCCCAGACUCCUACGGGAGGCAGCAGUGGGGAAUAUUGCACAAUGGGCGAAAGCCUGAUGCAGCGACGCCGCGUGAGGGAUGGAGGCCUUCGGGUUGUAAACCUCUUUCGCUCAUGGUCAAGCCGCAGCUUUGGGUUGUGGUGAGGGUAGUGGGUAAAGAAGCGCCGGCUAACUACGUGC
This 483-nucleotide ribosomal RNA is filed under the name uncultured bacterium. Its description in RNAcentral is "partial 16S ribosomal RNA". It matches the Rfam family "Bacterial small subunit ribosomal RNA", at positions 28 to 508 of the family's 1533-position model. The record is from RNAcentral.